Molecule: small nuclear RNA, 106 nt
Organism: Monodelphis domestica (gray short-tailed opossum)
Lineage: Eukaryota; Metazoa; Chordata; Mammalia; Didelphimorphia; Didelphidae
Source: Ensembl
GUUCUUGCUUCGGUAGCACAUAUGCUAAAAUUAGAAUGAUAAAGAGAAGAUUAGCAUGCCCCUGCACAAGGAUGACACACAAAUUCAUGAAGUAUUCCAUAUUUUU